AAUGAACGCUGGCGGCGUGCUUAACACAUGCAAGUCGUACGAGAACGCUUCAGCUUGCUGAAGCUAGUAAAGUGGCGUACGGGUGAGUAACGCGUGGGUAAUCUACCUUCGAAUUGGGGAUAACGUUGCGAAAGUGACGCUAAUACCGAAUAAUAUCAUAGAGACUUUGGUUUUUAUGAUCAAAGAUGGCCUCUCCUUGGAAGCUAUUGUUUGGAGAUGAGCCCGCGUCCCAUUAGCUUGUUGGUGGGGUAAUGGCCUACCAAGGCAACGAUGGGUAGCUGGUCUGAGAGGAUGAUCAGCCACACUGGAACUGACACACGGUCCAGACUCCUACGGGAGGCAGCAGUGAGGAAUUUUGCGCAAUGGGGGAAACCCUGACGCAGCAACGCCGCGUGAGUGAUGAAGGCUUUCGGGUCGUAAAGCUCUGUC
This 429-nucleotide ribosomal RNA is filed under the name uncultured bacterium. RNAcentral describes it as "bacterial SSU rRNA". It matches the Rfam family "Bacterial small subunit ribosomal RNA", at positions 29 to 437 of the family's 1533-position model. The record is from RNAcentral.